UGUAAUGUCCGGGCCCAGAACCUACUAGGCCCAAUAAGAAAUGGGCCCAGUUAAGGGUUGGGCCCAAAUUUCACUGUGGGCAGUGCUGUUAUCAUAUUUAAAAAAAAAAAAGAAUAAAAACGAAGGGAUAAGACCGACAGGGAGGGGUGACCCUCACCCCUGCUGACAGCCGCUGCCGGCGCGCCGGAGACAAGGGGAGGCGGCGGCCAGUCCCGGAGCAGGAGGGAAUGGAGAGGAUGGGACCUCUUUGAGGGGGGUCUCAUGUCACGACCCCCGCCCCGUUCCCGGCGGGCCGCCGCGACGGUCCUAGGGUGCGGGUAGGCAUAAGGCCACCAGCCACCGCGUAGAACCCUACUACCUAUCAAUCAUCAAUAAAUCUUGAAAAUUUUGGCAUGAUACAUGCACAAAAUGAUCACCUUUCCUAUGGUGACCUGUCAGGAUUAUCUCAAUACAUAUAACACACUACCUGUCAGAGCAGUAAUCACAUAAUCUGUCACAUAAUAAACCUGGACAAUAUAUAGCAAUACAUUAUCACAGGCACACAACUGAUCUGCACACAC
Molecule: long non-coding RNA, 560 nt
Filed under: Phoenix dactylifera (date palm)
Lineage: Eukaryota; Viridiplantae; Streptophyta; Magnoliopsida; Arecales; Arecaceae
Description: long non-coding RNA (PDAC_LNC017427)
Source: RNAcentral